This 20-nucleotide unclassified non-coding RNA is filed under the name Mus musculus (house mouse). RNAcentral describes it as "oocyte_clustered_small_RNA11083". Lineage: Eukaryota; Metazoa; Chordata; Mammalia; Rodentia; Muridae. The record is from RNAcentral.
UACCAAGCUAAUAAAGAAUA